AACGAACGCUGGCGGCGUGCCUAACACAUGCAAGUCGAACGAAACGUCCGGGUCUUUUGGCGCACGGGGGCGUACCGCGUGGGGAGCUGCACUUAGGUACGGCAUACCUCCCCGAAAGGGGUGCUAAUACCGGAUAGUGUCUUCGGACCAAAGAUUUAUCGCCUUUGGAUGGGCCCGCGUUGGAUUCGGUGGUUGGUAGGGUACAAGCCUACCAAGGCGAGGAUCCAUAGCUGGUCUGUGAGGAUGCUUUGCCACACUGGCGCUGCGACACGGCCGCGAAUCCUACGCAAGGGAGGAGUGGAUAACAUAGGACGAUGGGCGCAGGCCUGAUCAAGCCACGCCCGGUGAGUGAUGAUGGCCUUAGGGUUCUAAUGCUCUUUUACCCGGGAUGAUAGUGACGGUACCGGGAGAAUAAGCACCGGCUAACUCCGUG
Molecule: ribosomal RNA, 433 nt
Filed under: uncultured bacterium
Lineage: Bacteria
Description: partial 16S ribosomal RNA
Rfam family: Bacterial small subunit ribosomal RNA
Source: RNAcentral